RNAcentral lists this unclassified non-coding RNA (237 nucleotides) under Hevea brasiliensis (rubber tree). Lineage: Eukaryota; Viridiplantae; Streptophyta; Magnoliopsida; Malpighiales; Euphorbiaceae. The record is from RNAcentral.
CAAUGUCUUUACCUUAUCCAUCAUAUCUGCCAUGAACUUUUGUCCUCCAAAUCCAGGUUCCACAGUCAAGACAAGGACCAUUUCCACAGGAUUUUCAAACUCAACCAAAGGAUAAACUUCUUCGAUAGGAGUUCCAGGAUUUAAAGCUACACCAGGCCUCAUGCCUUUUGACUUGAUUCUCUGGAUUAGUUCUCUCCAGUUUUCUCUGGAUGCUUCAACGUGAAAUGUAAAUCCAGA